UGCCAGCAGCCGCGGUAAUACGGAGGGUGCGAGCGUUAAUCGGAAUUACUGGGCGUAAAGCGCGCGUAGGCGGCUAAGUAAGUCGGAUGUGAAAGCCCUGGGCUUAACCUGGGAAUUGCAUUCGAUACUGCUUGGCUAGAGUAUGGUAGAGGGUAGUGGAAUUCCUGGUGUAGCGGUGAAAUGCGUAGAUAUCAGGAGGAACAUCAGUGGCGAAGGCGGCUACCUGGACCAAUACUGACGCUGAGGUGCGAAAGCGUGGGGAGCAAACAGGAUUAGAUA
RNAcentral lists this ribosomal RNA (279 nucleotides) under uncultured bacterium. RNAcentral describes it as "partial 16S ribosomal RNA". It matches the Rfam family "Bacterial small subunit ribosomal RNA", at positions 506 to 784 of the family's 1533-position model. The record is from RNAcentral.